RNAcentral lists this ribosomal RNA (374 nucleotides) under uncultured organism. Its description in RNAcentral is "bacterial SSU rRNA". It matches the Rfam family "Bacterial small subunit ribosomal RNA", at positions 526 to 896 of the family's 1533-position model. The record is from RNAcentral.
CGUAGGUGGCAAGCGUUGUUCGGAAUUAUUGGGCGUAAAGGGCGCGUAGGCGGUUUGCUAAGUCAGUUGUGAAAAGCCCGGGGCUCAACCCCGGAGGGUCGGCUGAUACUGGUGGACUAGAGUACGGAAGAGGUAGCUGGAAUUCCCGGUGUAGCGAUGAAAUGCGUAGAUAUCGGGAGGAACACCUGAGGCGAAGGCGGGCUACUGGGCCGAUACUGACGCUGAUGCGCGAAAGCCAGGGGAGCAAACGGGAUUAGAUACCCCGGUAGUCCUGGCCCUAAACGAUGGACACUUGGUGUGUCGGGUAUUUCAGUCCCGGCGUGCCGGAGCUAACGCGUUAAGUGUCCCGCCUGGGGAGUACGGUCGCAAGGCUG